This 301-nucleotide ribosomal RNA is filed under the name uncultured bacterium. Its description in RNAcentral is "partial 16S ribosomal RNA". It matches the Rfam family "Bacterial small subunit ribosomal RNA", at positions 509 to 809 of the family's 1533-position model. The record is from RNAcentral.
CAGUAGCCGCGGUAAUACGUAGGUGGCAAGCGUUGUCCGGAUUUAUUGGGCGUAAAGCGAGCGCAGGCGGUUUCUUAAGUCUGAUGUGAAAGCCCCCGGCUCAACCGGGGAGGGUCAUUGGAAACUGGGAGACUUGAGUGCAGAAGAGGAGAGUGGAAUUCCAUGUGUAGCGGUGAAAUGCGUAGAUAUAUGGAGGAACACCAGUGGCGAAGGCGGCUCUCUGGUCUGUAACUGACGCUGAGGCUCGAAAGCGUGGGGAGCGAACAGGAUUAGAUACCCCAGUAGUCCCUGUCUCUUAUAU